UUUCAAUUCACUGAAGAUUGCAAGAGAGGAACAGUUCGCUAAAAUGGCGAUAGGAUUCCUGAUUUUGACCGGCUUGCUGGCCUUCGGCACGUACUGGACCACCAGGUACCUGAUCUCGGCGGCGGAUCAUAGCACUACCACGACUACUGUCUCGCCAAACGACGACAGUAUACUACGCCUGAUGUUUAACAAGACUGGUUGACAUCAACAUCAGCUGACGCGCGUCAACUUACAUACUUAGCGGACUCGCGAGGAAGACAUUUAUAAUUGAAACAAAUUA
Molecule: long non-coding RNA, 280 nt
Organism: Cydia amplana
Lineage: Eukaryota; Metazoa; Arthropoda; Insecta; Lepidoptera; Tortricidae
Exons: 3
Source: RefSeq, a predicted model, not a curated record